UUUGUUAAGUUGCAUAUGUAGUCCUCCACAAACUUGUCUGGUGAGUCCAUGUUUUGGUCCAGCUUUGGGACUACAACAUGAUCAUCCACAUUCAAUUCUGUUGCUUUCCAUUUCAGCUUUCCACUUUCUUUGUCAAAUACCUGUAAACUGGAGAAGCGAGGGUGCUGGAGCAAACCAUUAAUUAAUUUGGGUUUUGCUUCCUCUGGGUUGAUUUUGG
RNAcentral lists this unclassified non-coding RNA (217 nucleotides) under Hevea brasiliensis (rubber tree). The record is from RNAcentral. Lineage: Eukaryota; Viridiplantae; Streptophyta; Magnoliopsida; Malpighiales; Euphorbiaceae.